RNAcentral lists this long non-coding RNA (2500 nucleotides) under Zea mays. RNAcentral's name for it is "long non-coding RNA (ZMAY_LNC000385)". Lineage: Eukaryota; Viridiplantae; Streptophyta; Magnoliopsida; Poales; Poaceae. The record is from RNAcentral.
ACCCUUGGCCGCCCCUACCCCUUCCCCUUGCAGCCGCCCUCCACUUCUUCCUCCUCCCUCUAGAUCUCCCCCCACGCAGCAAGGAUCGAGAUGAGGAGGAGCAAGAUGGAUUGAAGAGGAAGAGAGGAUCAAGGAGAUGUUCUACCCCCAUCUCUUGCAGAUUUUCUUGGGGAAACCCUAGGUAAGGAUGGGAUCCUUGUUCCUCCCUAUAAUUAUGUGCUUUUGGAGGUUGUGGAUCAUGUGGAUUGAAGGAUUAGAGGUUGGAUUAGAUGUGGGGUUAGGUUUUGAUCUCGAAUUUAAUUUCUGCAGAAUGGCAGAUUCGACAGUUUCUGUUCAUGCCAGUUUUCCGUGGUCUUAGUGGCCUCAAAAAAAUAAAAAGUCUAUAUAUGAGUCGUAGAUAAGUUGUAGAUCUUUCCGUGGCCGCAAAGAACACCUCAAUCGGACAUCAGAACAGAAAGUUAUUGCAGUUUGAUUAUAUCAGUUUUUUAGUCUCAUAAUUCUGUGCAGAAUCUGUUCUCUUAAGAGUUAGGCAAUUUUAUCAACAGAAUUAAAAUGUGGGUUGGUAAAAGAAGUUGUAGAUAAUUUCAUAAGCUUUCCAGAUUGUUAAAGAGUGCAUUCAUAUGAUUUAUGAAACUCCAGUUAUGUUUGUUUUACUGUGGCUGUUGCUGUUUGCCUGACAAAAAUGAGCGGGUCUGUUCACUGGUAGGUUUCAUCUAGUAAAUGGCCGAAUUGGCUCUUCAACUAUGGAGACUUUUGUAGAGGGAUAAAAGUUCUUACUGUCAGCAGAAUUUCAUAAUUUUUGGUUCAGUAGUUUGGGAGAUAUCGAAUUUUGAAGUUAACUAGGCUGCUGUCUAAAACAGAUUCAGUCAGUUAUCUUGUCAGAUGUUUUAGAACUUAUUGAUGACAGAAUUUAAUUAUCCAUUGAAUACCGAAGUUGUAGAGUGUUUUGUGUAGAUACUCCUAGAGUAUUUUUUUGAUAUCACCACUGUUUUAAUUUUAAAGAUACAAAAUUAACAAACAGUGUUGCUGUUGUAUGGCAUGUGGUUUAGGGUGGGAGUCUUUCCACUGGGUCUUGGUUUCAAGUGUAGGAGUGUUUUGUUGAUCGUUGGCAAAUGUUUGUGAAAUAUUUGUACUAAGUUUUAUGCCCACUAGCAGGUGGCUACACUCCAGAUCAUGCCUAGUACAUUUUUCUUCUUCGAUGAAGGCAAGUGAAUGUAGUGGUGGUUGCUUCCGUUCUGACCUGUUAUUUCUAUUGCCUACACUCUAAUAUUCAGAAGUAUCAGAUUAUUUCAUAAUUGGACUCUAUGGUGAUUCUUUACUUGCUUGCAUUAUACUGAUGCUCAAUCAUAUAUUGAUGAUGAUUAUGGUUCGAGUAUGACUCAUGAGAUUAAUUCACACCCCUGAAGGUAAAUGAAGUAUUAUUUGAGGCUGGUAUUGUAUCUGAAGGUAAAUGAAGUAUUAUUUGAGGUUGGUAUUGUAUCUGAAGGUAAAUGAAGUAUUAUUUGAGGUUGGUAUUGUAUCUGAAGGUAAAUAAAGUAUUAUUUGAGGUUGUAUUGUAUGUGAAGGAAGUGAAGUAUAUUGAUAAAUGCAGCAUGCCAUAUACAUUGCAUGAUUCACUUGCAUAUGAAGUUGGGUCGUGACCUAUGGUCCGACCGUACCGGUACAACUUAGCAUCGUACGUUGCCCGAGGAGGGGUACGAUGCGGCUUCAUACCCUUAGAGGUAUGAAGGCAGAGGACAUAUGCAUUGCAUUCAUUGAAGUGAUAUUUGCAGAUGAUGUGGUUUUAUACCCUCAGAGGUAUGAAGACAGAGUACCUACACUUCGCACUCCUAUGCAUACAUUGAAGUGAUAUUUGCAGGUUUUGUUGACGCAGGGAAGUGUUAUAGAACCUAUUGUGGUUGUUCGAGGAAAUGAGAUGGUAUUGGUUAUAUUGGGACUACUGAGUUCUAUAUCUACAAGUAUUUCUGAUCUUAAUUGUGAUUCUUUUAAAAUGUUGAUUAAUUCAAUUUGUGGUUUAAAUAUCUCGUCAAAACAAUUCGCUUGCUGAGAUGUUUCAUCUCACUCUUGCAUUACUCAAUGCAGGUGCUUGUUGCUCAUCCAGGGAAGUGGGAAGUAGCAGCACAUCCACCUUCACUCUCAUAAUAACGCUGCUUAGGCGCAGUCAUGAUUUAAUUAGAAGCUUCUUGUCAAAGGAUGUUUGUUUCUAACUAGUUGUGCGCACUGGUUAAUUUAGUUCAUGUUGUUAUGGUUGUCUUCCCAUUGCUAGCAGAUUAUUAAUGUCGAUUAUGUUUUCUUAUCAUGAUAUCUAUUUAUACUUUGUUGCUUCCCCGUUUAUGCAAUUUUCAAAGGAGAUGCUGUCGAAAUUUUAUAUACGAAUGUUAGAAGUGUAGUUUAGUAGCAUUCUGGGGUGUUUGUGGAUCCCGGGGUGUUACAGGAAGACAGACUCGACCUCGGCUUCGGAGGAGCUUCCACAUCGCCCAACCUAGGGCGCAGACCAGCC